This 330-nucleotide ribosomal RNA is filed under the name uncultured bacterium. RNAcentral describes it as "bacterial SSU rRNA". It matches the Rfam family "Bacterial small subunit ribosomal RNA", at positions 568 to 898 of the family's 1533-position model. The record is from RNAcentral.
UGUGUAGGCGGUUGUUUAAGUUUGGUGUGAAAUCUCCCGGCUCAACUGGGAGGGUGCGCCGAAUACUGAAUGACUAGAGUGCAGGAGAGGAAAGUGGAAUUCCUGGUGUAGCGGUGAAAUGCGUAGAUAUCAGGAGGAACACCGGUGGUGUAGACGGCUUUCUGGACCGUAACUGACGCUGAAACACGAAAGCGUGGGUAGCAAACAGGAUUAGAUACCCUGGUAGUCCACGCCCUAAACGAUGCAUAUUUGGUGUGGGCAGUUCAUUCUGUCCGUGCCGGAGCUAACGCGUUAAAUAUGCCGCCUGGGGAGUACAGUCGCAAGGCUGAA